ACUGCUCAGUAACACGUGGACAACCUACCCUAUGGAGGGGGAUAACCCCGGGAAACUGGGGAUAAUACCCCAUAGACUAUAGAUGCUGGAAUGCUUUGUAGUCGAAAGGUCCGCCGCCAUAGGAUGGGUCUGCGGCCGAUUAGGUUGUUGUUGGGGUAACGGCCCAACAAGCCUGUAAUCGGUACGGGUUGUGGGAGCAAGAGCCCGGAGAUGGAUUCUGAGACACGAAUCCAGGCCCUACGGGGCGCAGCAGGCGCGAAAACUUUACAAUGCGGGAAACCGUGAUAGGGGAACUCUGAGUGCCCGUAAAAUCGGGCUGUCCACCUGUUUAAAUAACAGGUGAAGAAAGGGCCGGGCAAGACCGGUGCCAGCCGCCGUGGUAAUACCGGCGGCUCGAGUGGUGGCCACUAUUACUGGGCUUAAAGCGUUCGUAGCUGGUUUGUUAAGUCUCUGGGGAAAUCUUCCGGCUCAACCGGAAGGCGUCUCAGGGAUACUGGCAGACUUGGGACCGGGAGAGGUGAGAGGUACCCCAGGGGUAGGAGUGAAAUCCUGUAAUCCUUGGGGGACCACCUGUGGUGAAGGCGUCUCACCAGAACGGCUCCGACAGUGAGGGACGAAAGCUGGGGGAGCAAACCGGAUUAGAUACCCGGGUAGUCCCAGCUGUAAACGAUGCACGUUAGGUGUAUCGGUGACCACGAGUCACCGAGGUGCCGAAGAGAAAUCGUGAAACGUGCCGCCUGGGAAGUACGGUCGCAAGGCUGAGACUUAAAGGAAUUGGCGGGGGAGCAC
This 789-nucleotide ribosomal RNA is filed under the name uncultured Methanomicrobiaceae archaeon. RNAcentral's name for it is "bacterial SSU rRNA". It matches the Rfam family "Archaeal small subunit ribosomal RNA", at positions 85 to 879 of the family's 1478-position model. The record is from RNAcentral. Lineage: Archaea; Methanobacteriati; Methanobacteriota; Methanomicrobia; Methanomicrobiales; Methanomicrobiaceae.